This 187-nucleotide small nuclear RNA is filed under the name Mustela putorius furo (domestic ferret). Its description in RNAcentral is "7SK RNA". It matches the Rfam family "7SK RNA", at positions 1 to 200 of the family's 331-position model. From Rfam's summary of the family: 7SK was discovered as an abundant small nuclear RNA in the mid-70s but a possible function has only recently been suggested. The record is from Rfam by way of RNAcentral. Lineage: Eukaryota; Metazoa; Chordata; Mammalia; Carnivora; Mustelidae.
AGAUGUGAGGGCGAUCUGGUUGCAAUCUCUGUCACCCCAUUGAUCGUAAGGGUUGAUUCAGCUAAUCUGGCUGGCGAGGCAGGUGUCCACUUCCUCCCUCAACACUCCAUGUGCGUCCCUUCUGAAGCUAUGCUCUCUGGAUACCAGUGUCCAUCCAUCAAUGGUUAAAAUAGAGGGCUUGCCAAUA